UGUGGAAUAUUGCGCAAUGGGGGAAACCCUGACGCAGCAACGCCGCGUGCGGGAUGAAGGCCUUCGGGUUGUAAACCGCUUUCAGCAGGGAAGACAUCGACGGUACCUGCAGAAGAAGCCCCGGCUAACUACGUGCCAGCAGCCGCGGUAAUACGUAGGGGGCGAGCGUUAUCCGGAUUCAUUGGGCGUAAAGCGCGCGCAGGCGGUUGCUCAAGCGGAACCUCUAAUCUCGGGGCUUAACCUCGAGCCGGGUUCCGAACUGGACGACUCGAGUGCGGUAGAGGCAGAUGGAAUUCCCGGUGUAGCGGUGGAAUGCGCAGAUAUCGGGAAGAACACCAACGGCGAAGGCAGUCUGCUGGGCCGUCACUGACGCUGAGGCGCGAAAGCUGGGGGAGCGAACAGG
This 403-nucleotide ribosomal RNA is filed under the name Verrucomicrobiota bacterium. Its description in RNAcentral is "Verrucomicrobia bacterium partial 16S ribosomal RNA". It matches the Rfam family "Bacterial small subunit ribosomal RNA", at positions 355 to 776 of the family's 1533-position model. Lineage: Bacteria; Pseudomonadati; Verrucomicrobiota. The record is from RNAcentral.